GGGGUUGUGGCUCAGAGGGAGAGCACUCGCCUCGCCUGCGUGAGGCACUGGGUUCGGUCCUCAGCCCCA
This 69-nucleotide transfer RNA is filed under the name Marmota monax (woodchuck). It matches the Rfam family "tRNA". From Rfam's summary of the family: Transfer RNA (tRNA) molecules are approximately 80 nucleotides in length. Their secondary structure includes four short double-helical elements and three loops (D, anti-codon, and T loops). Further hydrogen bonds mediate the characteristic L-shaped molecular structure. tRNAs have two regions of fundamental functional importance: the anti-codon, which is responsible for specific mRNA codon recognition, and the 3' end, to which the tRNAs corresponding amino acid is attached (by aminoacyl-tRNA synthetases). tRNAs cope with the degeneracy of the genetic code in two manners: having more than one tRNA (with a specific anti-codon) for a particular amino acid; and 'wobble' base-pairing, i.e. permitting non-standard base-pairing at the 3rd anti-codon position. Lineage: Eukaryota; Metazoa; Chordata; Mammalia; Rodentia; Sciuridae. The record is from Rfam by way of RNAcentral.